This 500-nucleotide ribosomal RNA is filed under the name uncultured bacterium. RNAcentral describes it as "partial 16S ribosomal RNA". It matches the Rfam family "Bacterial small subunit ribosomal RNA", at positions 30 to 523 of the family's 1533-position model. The record is from RNAcentral.
AUUGAACGCUGGCGGCAGGCUUAACACAUGCAAGUCGAGCGGGGGAAGGUAGCUUGCUACCGGACCUAGCGGCGGACGGGUGAGUAAUGCUUAGGAAUCUGCCUAUUAGUGGGGGACAACAUCUCGAAAGGGAUGCUAAUACCGCAUACGUCCUACGGGAGAAAGCAGGGAUCUUCGGACCUUGCGCUAAUAGAUGAGCCUAAGUCGGAUUAGCUAGUUGGUGGGGUAAAGGCCUACCAAGGCGACGAUCUGUAGCGGGUCUGAGAGGAUGAUCCGCCACACUGGGACUGAGACACGGCCCAGACUCCUACGGGAGGCAGCAGUGGGGAACAUUGGACAAUGGGGGGAACCCUGAUCCAGCCAUGCCGCGUGUGUGAAGAAGGCCUUAUGGUUGUAAAGCACUUUAAGCGAGGAGGAGGCUACUUUAGUUAAUACCUAGAGAUAGUGGACGUUACUCGCAGAAUAAGCACCGGCUAACUCUGUGCCAGCCGCCGCUGUAA